AAGUCGAACGAUGAAGGAGGAGCUUGCUCCUCCGGAUUAGUGGCGAACGGGUGAGUAAUACGUGAGCAAUGUGCCCUUGACUCUGGGAUAAGCGCUGGAAACGGCGUCUAAUACCGGAUACGACCCUCGGAGGCAUCUCCUGAUGGUGGAAAGAACUUCGGUCAAGGAUCAGCUCACGGCCUAUCAGCUAGUUGGUGAGGUAACGGCUCACCAAGGCGACGACGGGUAGCCGGCCUGAGAGGGUGACCGGCCACACUGGGACUGAGACACGGCCCAGACUCCUACGGGAGGCAGCAGUGGGGAAUAUUGCACAAUGGGCGCAAGCCUGAUGCAGCAACGCCGCGUGAGGGACGAAGGCCUUCGGGUUGUAAACCUCUUUUAGCAGGGAAGAAGCGAAAGUGACGGUACCUGCAGAAAAAGCACCGGCUAACUACGUGCCAGCAGCCGCGGUAAUACGUAGGGUGCAAGCGUUGUCCGGAAUUAUUGGGCGUAAAGAGCUCGUAGGCGGUUUGUCGCGU
RNAcentral lists this ribosomal RNA (518 nucleotides) under Agrococcus jenensis. RNAcentral's name for it is "bacterial SSU rRNA". It matches the Rfam family "Bacterial small subunit ribosomal RNA", at positions 59 to 588 of the family's 1533-position model. Lineage: Bacteria; Bacillati; Actinomycetota; Actinomycetes; Micrococcales; Microbacteriaceae. The record is from RNAcentral.